GUUCUCAUUUCAGCAGCAUAUAUACUAAAACUCUAAUGAAACAGAGAUCAGCAGAGCACCUGCACAAAGAGUGUACUCAAAUUUGUGAAAUAUUCCAUAUUUUA
Molecule: small nuclear RNA, 104 nt
Organism: Gracilinanus agilis (Agile Gracile Mouse Opossum)
Lineage: Eukaryota; Metazoa; Chordata; Mammalia; Didelphimorphia; Didelphidae
Source: RefSeq, a predicted model, not a curated record